CAGUGCCUACGGGGCGCAGCAGUAGGGAAUCUUCGGCAAUGGACGGAAGUCUGACCGAGCAACGCCGCGUGAGUGAUGACGGCCUUCGGGUUGUAAAGCUCUGUUAAUCGGGACGAAAGGCCUUCUUGCGAAUAGUUAGAAGGAUUGACGGUACCGGAAUAGAAAGCCAAGGCUAACUACGUGCCAGCAGCCGCGGUAAUACGUAGGUGGCAAGCGUUGUCCGGAAUUAUU
This 231-nucleotide ribosomal RNA is filed under the name uncultured bacterium. Its description in RNAcentral is "partial 16S ribosomal RNA". It matches the Rfam family "Bacterial small subunit ribosomal RNA", at positions 332 to 555 of the family's 1533-position model. The record is from RNAcentral.